This 102-nucleotide ribosomal RNA is filed under the name Sciaphila thaidanica. RNAcentral describes it as "4.5S ribosomal RNA". The record is from RNAcentral. Lineage: Eukaryota; Viridiplantae; Streptophyta; Magnoliopsida; Pandanales; Triuridaceae.
CAAUUAAGUCACAACGAGAUGAGUUGUUUGAUAGGUGUUAAGUAUAAGUAUAAUGAUACAUUCAGCUAAGGCAUUCUAACAGACUGAGAAAUUAAUUUAUAC